Molecule: ribosomal RNA, 468 nt
Filed under: uncultured bacterium
Lineage: Bacteria
Description: partial 16S ribosomal RNA
Rfam family: Bacterial small subunit ribosomal RNA
Source: RNAcentral
GACGAACGCUGGCGGCGUGCUUAACACAUGCAAGUCGAACGGAAAGGCCCUGCUUUUGUGGGGUUCUCGAGUGGCGAACGGGUGAGUAACACGUGAGUAUCCUGCCCUUGACUUUGGGAUAACUUCAGGAAACUGGGGCUAAUAUCGGAUAGGAGCUCCUGCUGCAUGGUGGGGGUUGGAAAGUUUCGGCGGUUGGGGAUGGACUCGCGGCUUAUCAGCUUGUUGGUGGGGUAGUGGCAUACCAAGGCUUUGACGGGUAGCCGGCCUGAGAGGGUGACCGGCCACAUGGGGACUGCGGGACGGCCCAGACGCCUACAGGAGGCAACAGGGGGGAAUAUUGCACAAUGAGCGGGAGCCUGAUGCAGCAGCGCCGCGUGCGGGAUGACGUCCUUCGGGGUGUGAACCGCUUUCGCCUGUGACGAAGCGUUAGUGACGGUAAUGGGUAAAGAAGCACCGGCUAACUACGUG